Molecule: ribosomal RNA, 435 nt
Filed under: uncultured bacterium
Lineage: Bacteria
Description: partial 16S ribosomal RNA
Rfam family: Bacterial small subunit ribosomal RNA
Source: RNAcentral
GAUGAACGCUGGCGGUAUGCUUAACACAUGCAAGUCGAACGGACUCUUCGGAGUUAGUGGCGGACGGGUGAGUAACGCGUGAGAAUCUGGCUUUGGGUUCGGGACAACCACUGGAAACGGUGGCUAAUACCGGAUGUGCCGAGAGGUAAAAUAGAAAUUGCCUGAAGAUGAGCUCGCGUCUGAUUAGCUAGUUGGUGAGGUAAAGGCUCACCAAGGCAGCGAUCAGUAGCUGGUCUGAGAGGAUGACCAGCCACACUGGGACUGAGACACGGCCCAGACUCAUACGGGAGGCAGCAGUGGGGAAUUUUCCGCAAUGGGCGAAAGCCUGACGGAGCAAUACCGCGUGAGGGAAGAAGGCUCUUGGGUUGUAAAACUCUUUUCUUAGGGAAGAACAAAAUGACGGUACCUAAGGAAUCAGCAUCGGCUAACUCCGUG